CCUACGGGUCGCACCAGUGGGGAAUAUUGCACAAUGGGCGCAAGCCUGAUGCAGCGACACCGCGUGAGGGACGAAGGCCUUCGGGUUGUAAACCUCUUUCGGCAGGGACGAAGCGCAAGUGACGGUACCUGAAGAAGAAGCGCCGGCCAACUACGUGCCAGCAGCCGCGGUAAGACGUAGGGCGCAAGCGUUGUCCGGAUUUAUUGGGCGUAAAGAGCUCGUAGGCGGCCUGUCGCGUCGACUGUGAAAACCCACGGCUUAACCGCGGGACUGCAGUCGAUACGGGCAGGCUAGAGUUCGGUAGGGGAGACUGGAAUUCCUGGUGUAGCGGUGAAAUGCGCAGAUAUCAGGAGGAACACCGGUGGCGAAGGCGGGUCUCUGGGCCGAAACUGACGCUGAGGAGCGAAAGCGUGGGGAGCGAACAGGAUUAGAUACCCCGGUAGUC
RNAcentral lists this ribosomal RNA (445 nucleotides) under uncultured bacterium. Its description in RNAcentral is "bacterial SSU rRNA". It matches the Rfam family "Bacterial small subunit ribosomal RNA", at positions 338 to 795 of the family's 1533-position model. The record is from RNAcentral.